AGCCUGAUGCAGCGACGCCGCGUGAGGGAUGGAGGCCUUCGGGUUGUAAACCUCUUUCGCCAGUGAAGCAGGCCUGCUCCUUGUGGGUGGGUUGACGGUAGCUGGAUAAGAAGCGCCGGCUAACUACGUGCCAGCAGCCGCGGUAAUACGUAGGGCGCGAGCGUUGUCCGGAAUUAUUGGGCGUAAAGAGCUCGUAGGCGGCUGGUCGCGUCUGUCGUGAAAUCCUCUGGCUUAACUGGGGGCUUGCGGUGGGUACGGGCCGGCUCGAGUGCGGUAGGGGAGACUGGAACUCCUGGUGUAGCGGUGGAAUGCGCAGAUAUCAGGAAGAACACCGGUGGCGAAGGCGGGUCUCUGGGCCGUUACUGACGCUGAGGAGCGAAAGCGUGGGGAGCGAACAGGAUUAGAUACCCUGGUAGUCCACGCCGUAAACGUUGGGCACUAGGUGUGGGGGGCCUUUUCCGGGUCUUCCGCGCCGUAGCUAACGCAUUAAGUGCCCCGCCUGGGGAGUACGGCCGCAAGGCUAAAACUCAAAGGAAUUGACGGGGGCCCGCACAAGCGGCGGAGCAUGCGGAUUAAUUCGAUGCAACGCGAAGAACCUUACCAAGGCUUGACAUGUGCCGGUCGGCUCCGGAGACGGGGUUUCCUCCUUGUGGGGCCGGUUCACAGGUGGUGCAUGGUUGUCGUCAGCUCGUGUCGUGAGAUGUUGGGGUUAAGUCCGCAACGAGCG
This 727-nucleotide ribosomal RNA is filed under the name Actinomyces sp. oral taxon 169. RNAcentral describes it as "bacterial SSU rRNA". It matches the Rfam family "Bacterial small subunit ribosomal RNA", at positions 380 to 1098 of the family's 1533-position model. Lineage: Bacteria; Bacillati; Actinomycetota; Actinomycetes; Actinomycetales; Actinomycetaceae. The record is from RNAcentral.